This 450-nucleotide ribosomal RNA is filed under the name uncultured Candidatus Nostocoida sp. RNAcentral's name for it is "bacterial SSU rRNA". It matches the Rfam family "Bacterial small subunit ribosomal RNA", at positions 338 to 795 of the family's 1533-position model. Lineage: Bacteria; Bacillati; Actinomycetota; Actinomycetes; Micrococcales; Intrasporangiaceae. The record is from RNAcentral.
CCUACGGGUGGCUGCAGUCGAGAAUCUUCGGCAAUGGGCGCAAGCCUGACCGAGCGACGCCGCGUGGAGGACGAAGGCCUUCGGGUUGUAAACUCCUGUCGAGGGGGAAGAAGGGGUAACACCUUGACUGAUCCCUGGAGGAAGCACGGGCUAAGUUCGUGCCAGCAGCCGCGGUAAGACGAACCGUGCGAACGUUAUUCGGAAUCACUGGGCUUAAAGCGCGUGUAGGCGGGACGACGCGUCGGUCGCUGAAAUCCCCCGGCUCAACCGGGGAACGGGCGCCGAUACGGUCGCCCUCGAGGGACGUAGGGGGACCUGGAACUUCCGGUGGAGCGGUGAAAUGCGUUGAGAUCGGAAGGAACGCCCGUGGCGAAAGCGAGGUCCUGGACGUUUUCUGACGCUGAGACGCGAAAGCCAGGGGAGCGAACGGGAUUAGAUACCCCUGUAGUC